RNAcentral lists this small RNA (2344 nucleotides) under Pongo abelii (Sumatran orangutan). RNAcentral describes it as "retained intron". Lineage: Eukaryota; Metazoa; Chordata; Mammalia; Primates; Hominidae. The record is from RNAcentral.
AAGAUUGGGUCGAAAUCAGACCAAUGGACAAGCUCUGGCCGUGGGUGGUGGACGGGCCUGGAGUAGAGCCGGAACGAGAAGGAUGAAGAGAUGAGCACAAAGGUGUACUUAGACCUGGUAUGGAGACCCCGCGGGGUGGGAAAGGGCUUCCCGCUGCCUUGACAAUUUCCUUGAAUAUCCAGCCCAGAAAGAAUAUUUUUUACAUCAUGACUUUAGAUAACGCGUUUAUAACUGAAGCAAAAGCUCGAGGAAACAACACCUAACUUUACUACAGGAGUUGCACCCCGUGCAUUUUUAAUUCCAAUUGUGUGUGUGUGUGUGUGUGUGUGUGUGUGUGAUGCGGUCUCACAAUGUUGCACAUGCUGUUCUUGAACGCGGGGGCUCGAGACAUCCACCAGCCUCGGGGGGAACCUCCCCAAGUGCUGAGAUUACAGGCGUGAGCCACUCUAAUUUUUGAAACACUGGUUUGGGGCCGCUAAUUUCAUUCGCCAUCCACUAAAGGAUUGCAAACUGCAGUUUGAAAACCACUGUUUUAGAGGCUAGCUACUGCAGCCUCCUCACUUUUACAGAGUAAAAAAUUGAAACCCGGUGCGGGGGAAGGGAAAUUAGUUGAUGUGGAUCCCAGCGAGUGAAGGCGGAGCCAGAGCCAGAACCCCGGCCCGUUGACCCACAGUUUAUGCCUGCCCUGCUCCCCUUCCUUGCACUCCCUUCCUGGCCUUCCUUUGGAAAUCCCAAGUCCCUCCCGGCCUCCAACCCGGGGCAGCCCCUCAGCUUCUGCUUCACUAGGAGUGGACUGACUACAGGCUGAGCUGGGACCCUGCGGAGCACGACGGCAUCGAUUUGCUCCGCAUCACGGCGGAAUCCGUGUGGCUGCCUGACGUGGUGCUACUGAACAACAAUGAUGGGAAUUUUGACGUGGCUCUGGACAUUAACGUCGUGGUGUCCUCCGACGGCUCCGUGCGUUGGCAACCGCCGGGCAUCUAUCGCAGCAGCUGCAGCAUCCAGGUUUCUGGGCUCCACAUUGGAAGCUGAAGGAGCUCUUACAAACCCUCCCUUUCCUUAGACAUCCUGACUCCCCAGAGACUCCCAUCCUUCAUCCUUCCCCCAUUAUCUAAUCUCCAUGACCCUCCCCUCGUCUACCCUCCUGAUUUUCCAUUGAGUGUUCUGAUCACUUUCUUUGACUUCUAGUCUUACUCAGUGACCGCCCUCCCCACCCCUCCCCCAUUAAUGGCUUCCCUUCAUAACCCUCCAAUUCCUCCGUGAUUCCCCUUCCCUGUGCCCUCCCCAAAGGCCUCCCAAACUCCACCAGCGCUGACUGGUUCUCUGGCAGCUCUAGUGACUCUCCCCUCCAUCCAGGUCACCUACUUCCCCUUCGACUGGCAGAACUGCACUAUGGUGUUCAGUUCCUACAGCUACGACAGCUCGGAGGUCAGCCUGCAGACAGGCCUGGGUCCUGACGGGCAAGAGCAGCAGGAAAUCCACAUUCAUCAAGGGACUUUCAUUGAGAAUGGCCAAUGGGAGAUUAUCCACAAGCCCUCUCGGCUAAUCCAGCCUCCAGGCGAUCCUAGGGGAGGGAAGGAAGGACAGCGCCAGGAAGUCAUCUUCUACCUUAUCAUCCGCCGCAAGCCUCUCUUCUACCUGGUCAACGUCAUUGCCCCAUGCAUCCUCAUCACUCUUCUGGCCAUCUUCGUCUUCUACCUGCCACCAGACGCAGGAGAGAAGAUGGGGCUCUCAAUCUUUGCCCUGCUGACCCUUACUGUGUUCCUGCUGCUGCUGGCUGACAAAGUACCUGAGACCUCCCUAUCAGUACCCAUUAUUAUCAAGUACCUCAUGUUUACCAUGGUCCUCGUCACCUUCUCAGUCAUCCUUAGUGUUGUGGUUCUCAACCUGCACCACCGCUCACCCCACACCCACCAAAUGCCCCUUUGGGUCCGUCAGAUCUUCAUUCACAAACUUCCGCUGUACCUGCGUCUAAAAAGGCCCAAACCCGAGAGAGACCUGAUGCCGGAGCCCCCUCACUGUUCUUCUCCAGGAAGUGGCUGGGGUCGGGGAACAGAUGAAUAUUUCAUCCGGAAGCCGCCAAGUGAUUUUCUCUUCCCCAAACCCAACAGGUAGGACUACGCCCGUUACCCACAUAAAAGGGAGAGGGAGAACUACAGUUCCCAGAAGAGUGUGCGGAAGAAGCGGCCCAUGCUCCCGGAAGAUGCUGUGGUUGAGCAUCAUGGGAGUUGUAGUACCCCUGCUGCUCACUUUGAGGGGAGGUGGGAACUAAAACAGAGGCGGUGGAAGAAGUUGCACAAGGCUAGAGAGAUCACUGCUGGCGGGGAGAGCAUGAAGGGCUCUC